This 463-nucleotide ribosomal RNA is filed under the name uncultured soil bacterium. RNAcentral describes it as "bacterial SSU rRNA". It matches the Rfam family "Bacterial small subunit ribosomal RNA", at positions 8 to 489 of the family's 1533-position model. The record is from RNAcentral.
AGAGUUUGAUCCUGGCUCAGAAUCAACGCUGGCGGCGUGCCUAACACAUGCAAGUCGAACGAGAAAGUGGAGCAAUCCAUGAGUACAGUGGCGACCGGGUGAGUAACACGUGAUCAACCUACCCUCGAGUGGGGAAUAACUCCGGGAAACCGGAGCUAAUACCGCAUAAAAUCUUCGGUCCACAUGAACUGAUGAUCAAAGGAGCAAUUCGCUUGAGGAGGGGGUCGCGGCUGAUUAGCUAGUUGGUAGGGUAAUGGCCUACCAAGGCUGAGAUCGGUAUCCGGCCUGAGAGGGCGCACGGACACACUGGAACUGAAACACGGUCCAGACUCCUACGGGAGGCAGCAGUGGGGAAUUUUGCGCAAUGGGGGAAACCCUGACGCAGCAACGCCGCGUGGAGGAUGAAGUCCCUUGGGACGUAAACUCCUUUCGACCGGGAAGAUACUGACGUACCGGAUAAGAG